Callithrix jacchus (white-tufted-ear marmoset) is the source of this 2094-nucleotide long non-coding RNA. NCBI's taxonomy places the organism in Eukaryota, Metazoa, Chordata, Mammalia, Primates, Cebidae. The record is from Ensembl.
AUGCAUGGAACAGUGCCUGGUACAAGGAAGGCAUUCGACAGAAUUGUGAUGAUUUUUACUAAAGAAGCAAUUGGAUACAAAACACGCAGAAAGCAAAGCAGCAGAGAUGAACGGAAUUACCACCAGCAGAAGGAUAUGCUGCUCAGCGUUGAAGCCCAAAAUGCUGUUCUUGGUACAAGCCUUGAGUUCCUGGUAUUCGACUCUGAAACCACGUGCCUUGGAGUCAGCCACUUGGGCCCAGACUCAAACCCCUGGAUUUGAAAACUGAAGUUGAAGGGAGCAGACACCAUGGUGAUGUUUGCAAGAAGAUUAAAGAACUCUCCAAGGAAAUCCUGUUUAAGACAGAGGGAGGAUUCCCAGUAUUCAUCUGCACUAGUAACCAUGGUUUGUAUUAGCUUCUAUAAAAUACUGGCUUAUCAAGUCCAUGUAGGUGAUAGUAAUAUUGAGCCCAUCCAUCAUGCAAGUUGUCUCCCAUUUUUAUGUUAGCCAAUAGCCAGGUCACACAGCUCUCCAAGAACAUUGUCAAGACAAAAGUUUAUUUGGAAAGGAUGUGACCUCUGGGGUGUCAAUAAAAUUCUGCAGAUGGCUUUAAACUGAAAGGCACCUUGACUCAAAUAAGAUAUGACAUCUCUGGGAUUUGUUUGUUGAAUCAUUCAGCAAGAUUCAAUGAAGACCUAUUGCAUGCUAAGGAUACAGAGAUGACUAAGAGAUAAUUCCAGUCUUUACACAACUUACAGAGAUGAACGCUAGAAUUCCAAGACUCUAAAACAGAGACCUCAGCAAAGCUUAGGGAGAACAGUGCCGCUUAAUUCUCUCCAGGACUGGGGCAGUGAAGCAGGGGUGAAAAGAGUGGGGAAUUAUAAGAAGCCUCUAAAGGAAGCUUUGAGAUGAGCUUAGCAGAAUGAAGAAAAAAAAAGCAUUCCAGAGCAUUCCAGGUAGAGAGAAGAGCAUGAGCAAAUUUUUGGAGACUUGAAAUUUUAUUAUGUACACAAAGAUGUUGUUCAUACCGGAAAUCUGUCUUAAAUUCCUUGCCCUGCUACCAACUGCUAUAUGAUUUUAGACAUCUCAUUCUGAAUCUUUGAUUCGUAGUCUCAAGUGUAGUAUUUAUAUUUACUGUAGAGGUACGGGAAGAGAGAGAAAGAGAGACUUCUAUUUAUGGUAAGAAGGGAUACAGAAUUGCCUUGUCAGAGAGAGUCCUAGCUGGAUUUAUCACAACCUCUAGGCAUCUCUCCAUGAGACACACGUCUGUCUACAAGGCCAUGGAGGAAGAAUUCCAAGGUUAGCUGGUGAUUGUCAUUCAUAUUGCCUCAUAUCUGAGAUCUAUGAUCAACUUCUCAAGAGAAGAGGAAGUAAAUAUAAAAAGGCUCGACAGCUGAAAGUAGCCAGUCUUGGCAGAAUUGACUUCUGGUUCUCUGGGAGAGCCAAGAGAUGGAGUUGCCCCUUAGCUUCGUGCUGUUUUCUCAUGCUAGACCACUGACACUCUCCCUCUUUUACCGACCAGACCCAGCUUCAACAUCAACUCUUCUGACAUUCCUUCCCUGACCCACCAGGAGAGGUCAGGUGCUCUCUCUUCUGUGCUUUCCAACACUACAUGCUUCCUUGACUGUAGCCUUUAGCAUACGGAAUUGUAAUUGCCUAUUUGCUUUUCAACACCCCUCAUUAGACUGUACAUUUCAUUAGGACACCAUGCCUCUCCUUUAUACUGCUAGCCUGCUAUGCAACAUGGGCAAAGUAAUUGCUGAAUAUGAAUAAGUGAACAAAUUAAUGGGAAAUGAGAGGAUGAAGGUUGGAAAAUAGGAAGCAAAUAGCAUUUUGCUCAAAGUGUCAAGAAGACUAGUUCCCUACAGCAUGAAUGAUAUACUCUCUUGGAUCCUGAGUACCAGUUUGGAUGAGUGCGAGGGAGAAACAAAGGAAGUCCCAGAAAAAAAGAAGUGAUGUGUUACAACUUACAACUGUCCUUGGAAUCAUAUGUUAUCUCCCAGCUGCUGGAAUUUUAAAAGCAGAUGAGGUUUCUGAGCAUUUUUCUAUGGGCGUCAAAAGGCAUAAUUCACUCUUAUUUGCAAUAAUUAGCUUCAGGUGGCUAGUCCAGAUGAG